UGGUAAAAGAGGGAAUUAAGCCCCCAUAAGUAAGACUACAGCUUACCGCCUAAACACUCAGCCAUUUUACC
RNAcentral lists this transfer RNA (71 nucleotides) under Corytophanes percarinatus. RNAcentral's name for it is "tRNA-Tyr". The record is from RNAcentral. Lineage: Eukaryota; Metazoa; Chordata; Lepidosauria; Squamata; Corytophanidae.